RNAcentral lists this ribosomal RNA (433 nucleotides) under uncultured bacterium. Its description in RNAcentral is "partial 16S ribosomal RNA". It matches the Rfam family "Bacterial small subunit ribosomal RNA", at positions 29 to 507 of the family's 1533-position model. The record is from RNAcentral.
AACGAACGCUGGCGGCAUGCCUAACACAUGCAAGUCGAACGAGACCUUCGGGUCUAGUUGCGCACGGGUGCGUAACUCGUGGGAACCUGCCCUUAGGUUCGGAAUAACUCCCCGAAAGGGGUGCUAAUACCGGAUAAUGUCUUCGGACCAAAGAUUUAUCGCCUUUGGAUGGGCCCGCGUUGGAUUAGCUAGUUGGUAGGGUAAAAGCCUACCAAGGCGACGAUCCAUAGCUGGUCUGAGAGGAUGAUCAGCCACACUGGGACUGAGACACGGCCCAGACUCCUACGGGAGGCAGCAGUGGGGAAUAUUGGACAAUGGGCGAAAGCCUGAUGCAGCAAUGCCGCGUGAGUGAUGAAGGCCUUAGGGUUGUAAAGCUCUUUUACCCGGGAUGAUAAUGACAGUACCGGGAGAAUAAGCGCCGGCUAACUCCGUG